UCCUAGUUAACCUAGGCAGUUUCGCAUGAGAAAUACAACAUGCGACAAGGGUUGCGCUCGUUGCGGGACUUAACCCAACAUCUCACGACACGAGCUGACGACGACCAUGCAGCACCUGUCACCAGGUUCCUUGCGGCACUCUCCUGUUUCCAGGAGAUUCCCGGGAUGUCAAACCCUGGUAAGGUUCUCCGCUUAUCGUCGAAUUAAACCCCACGCUCCACCGCUUGUGCGGGUCCCCGUCAAUUCCUUUGAGUUUUAGUCUUGCGACCGUACUCCCCAGGCGGGGUACUUAACGCGUUAGCUUCGACACCCAGGGGGUCUAAUCCCCGAAUGCCUAGUACCCAUCGUUUACGGCGUGGACUAC
Molecule: unclassified non-coding RNA, 364 nt
Filed under: uncultured bacterium
Lineage: Bacteria
Description: contains 16S-23S intergenic spacer region
Source: RNAcentral